Molecule: long non-coding RNA, 3166 nt
Organism: Nannospalax galili (Upper Galilee mountains blind mole rat)
Lineage: Eukaryota; Metazoa; Chordata; Mammalia; Rodentia; Spalacidae
Exons: 4
Source: RefSeq, a predicted model, not a curated record
AAAAGCCGCGCACUCGCUUCGCGUUCUAAGCCCGAGCGAGAGGCGCUUCUGAGACGGAGGAAGGGACCUGCAGGAGCCUGCCGCCCGCCAGCUGCCGUUGCCGCCGCCACCGGUGCCACCGCUGUCCGCGCGUGUCGGAAGAGGGACACCGCUGGGAAGGCAGGAGCUGCGAAACAGUUACACACGCCGUCUCCCGGGGAGUGGACCCCGCUCGCAAGCCCCGACUUUGCAGAGGUGAUUUGUGUCUGUCUCCUUGUUUCAAGAUCUCAGGUGCCCAUUCAUGAGUCCCAGGCUAUGAGAAACGCUCCACGUGCCAAGGGGAGCUCUCAACAGAUCUGAGCUGUCCUAAAGAGACGCUAUUCCGACUGAGUCAGCAUUACCAGCUUAUCCAAUAAAAGUACUAACAUAUUCGUUAACAACGUCGAAAGUAGCCUACUUUAAGAGAAAAUAUGCAGAAGAAGAAGAUUUACAUCAAGAUUACCAUGGGUAUUUUCCAAAACACCUGAUAUUACCUGAAGACAGGACUUGCAUCCUCAAAAUUUCUCUGGAGAAGCUCAGGUUUCUAGAAGACCCAGAAACCUACUUAAGAAGGUCUGUGUUAAUUAACAAUUUGCUGAGGAAGAUACACCUGGAGACAGAGAAAGAGAGCUAUGAAUACUUUAAAGAAGCUCCCUGUUAUAAGACUGCUUAUUCUGAUGCAAGAAAACGGCUGAAGUUUAUGGUACAGGAAUGCUGUUCCCAGUCUCUUUAUUAUGAAGAGCUGCAUUCCUACCAUAUCGUGCCUUAUGCUUCAGGAAAUGCCAUUUAUGGAAUGGGCUACACUAGUGACCACUUGGAGCAAAAUUCUCAGUUGCUUAUUUAUAAAAUGAAUUAAAGUAACUGUUAAGUUCAUUAAUAUUUUGUUUCUAACUGCCUGAACUGUUCAUAGUGAAGAUGUUAAUACAAGGCACUAAUUGCCAGUGCACUUGAUCUCAAAGAUGAGAUAGAUGCAUGCUGAAUUGAGUGGAGAGAGCCAUGGGUAUUACCCAGCAGUCCUUAGUACCAUCAAAUUGAAUGGAAAAUAUAUCCACUUAUCAUAAAGCAGUGAAUUAGUGCAUUAGAAGCAAAGAGGUUUUUUUUUAAGAUAAGAAGGGAUCUAUAUCAAACUGUUAGAUUAAAGCUUUUAAGCCCCCAAAGUCCAAAUUUUGUCACUCUUAGUGAAAAGUAAUAAAAGGAGCCACGAUGUACACGAUGAGAAUUCCUUCUUUCUGAAACUCUUUGGCCUGUCAAGCACUGUACCAAAUGAUUGACAGUUUUUUCCUUUGACCGUGAGUGGCAAUUCAAGAUAGGGCCAACGUUCACUGCAGCUUACCUGCUGAAUGUAACAAAUGGAUUUUUCCAAGCUGAUCCAUUUUAUUCUUUUUUUUGUUUAUUUUUCUUAUUUGUCUUAAUAGACUUUUCUCUUUAAGAAUGAAAUGUAAUAAAUUAGCAUUGCAUAUAGGAUUAUCUUUAGGCUCUAGGGGUUGGUUACAAUUUGUGCUGGGCCUUUAAGAGUUUAAUUUUUAUUUAUUAUCUUAUUUUUUUAUAGGCUGUGAAGCUCAGGAAAAGGGUAGGGAGGCAAAAUCUGUUUGUAAUGGGUUAUUUUUUAAAACCCAAUAUGCAAGAAUUGGUGAGGAUUAUAGACUUUGUAUAUGAUGUCAUUUAUUCAUUGUGCUAAGGGUUCCCAUAAGACUGCCUGGAUGAAACUUUGCACUGAUUUUUGUAUAGUAGUCAAUCACUCACUAUUUAACAAAAUGUCUGAGAAUGCCUUUGUGGUGAAGUUCAGAUAAGUCCCUAUGUUUUACACUUUGAAGGGUGAUGAUUUAACAAGUUGGAUAGAUUCAUGAAAUUGUUGGAAAUGAUUCAUUGUGUUCUUUGAGUGAAACGUCCUACUUCAGGAUUUGGAUUUUUUUGUCCUAUGGAGCAUUUUUUUUAACAAAUUGUUAUUGAUAAAACAGAUUGGGAAAACUAGGUGCCAAAGGUGUAUUUAAGAAAAUACCAAAGACUCAAAGAUGAGUGUUAGGAAGAUUGUGAGAGUGAAGCUAGCAGACAAGGUUAUAAACUAAGGACUACACUGGACAUGCAAGAAUAUUGCUGAGAGUUUCACAGUGGCUCGCUUACCAGUGUUCUUUCUGAAUGCUUUGUUCAGAAUAAUGAUAAACAAGGACAUGACUUUAAUAUACCAAACAUUCAGUAAUCAUAUGCUUUCAUAAUUUUAAAUAUGGUGACAUAGUAUUAUCCCUAGCUGAUGGUAACUUGUAACCUGGCUGGUCUUGUUCUAUUAAAGAGAGCUUUGUUUUUAGUUUUGAUUCCGUAUUUGGUCCCUGUAAUGAGUCACCAAGAUAAUUUUGUACAAGGAAUAUUGGUGCUCUAAUGAAGUGGUACUGUAGAAACUCACGUAGGUAUGCCACUGAUCAAAGUGUCAGGCUGGUAUUUAAUUGCUCCAUCAAAUUUAGGAAAAAUGCUUUAGAAUAAAGUGAAAAAUCAUAAAGGAGGUAAAGAUUUAAAGACAAUUUGGUAUAAAUGGUAAGAUGUCCAUAAAAGCUAGCCAUAAAAAUUUUUAAAUUAAUUUAAAGGUAAGAUUUGGUGCCAAAGUUUAAUGUUUUUAUUUAAUUGCUAAAAAAAUACAGAUUUACUUAAAAAUGGGGAUAGCCCAAGACUCUAAUUUGAUAGAUAACAUCAUAUUUUAAAAAAAUAGAAUCAGCUCUCUGAUUCCUGAAAUGAACACUGGGCUUGCUUGGCUUAAGGCAGAAUCACUAGGGAAAAGAUACCAGUGCUAAUAGAUGCAACAUUCUAAAAAGCCUCAUGUUGAAAUUGGCUAAGGAUAGGAAUGCACAUACUGUGGAACAGAAAAGAAAGGAAGAGGAAAGAUCAUCAAGAAAGUGUGAAAGUGUCGUGUUGUAUGUCAGAAAUCCUAAACAAAGCAAGAAUAUGGGAGAAAGCACCAGGGACAGAUAUGAAAGUGUUUAUUUCAUCAUGUUAUUAACUGAGUUCUCUAAUCUCUACACAGUGACUAUAGAAAAGAAGUUGUCUUAGAAGCCAGUGGCAUUUGUGAUUAUGCUUUUAUUUAAAUAUUCAUUGAUUUAAAAAGAUUAUUUAAAAAUACUUUUUAGCAAUUCAUUUUCCCCAAUAAACAGUUCAUAGAUAA